UACGUAGGGUGCGAGCGUUAUCCGGAAUCAUUGGGUUUAAAGGGUCCGUAGGCGGUUUGGUAAGUCAGUGGUGAAAGCCCAUCGCUCAACGGUGGAACGGCCAUUGAUACUGCCAGACUUGAAUUAUUAGGAAGUAACUAGAAUAUGUAGUGUAGCGGUGAAAUGCUUAGAGAUUACAUGGAAUACCAAUUGCGAAGGCAGGUUACUACUAAUGGAUUGACGCUGAUGGACGAAAGCGUGGGUAGCGAACAGG
This 253-nucleotide ribosomal RNA is filed under the name uncultured bacterium. Its description in RNAcentral is "partial 16S ribosomal RNA". It matches the Rfam family "Bacterial small subunit ribosomal RNA", at positions 524 to 776 of the family's 1533-position model. The record is from RNAcentral.